UGGGGAAUUUUGGACAAUGGGGGAAACCCUGAUCCAGCCAUGCCGCGUGUGUGAAGAAGGCCUUCGGGUUGUAAAGCACUUUUGUUCGGAACGAAACGGUGGAUGCCAAUAACAUCCGCUAAUGACGGUACCGGAAGAAUAAGCACCGGCUAACUACGUUCCAGCAGCCGCGGUAAUACGUAGGGUGCAAGCGGUAAUCGGAAUUACUGGGCGUAAAGCGUGCGCAGGCGGCUUCGCAAGUCAGAUGUGAAAUCCCCGGGCUCAACCUGGGAACUGCAUUUGAAACUACGGAGCUAGAGUGUGUCAGAGGGGGGUAGAAUUCCACGUGUAGCAGUGAAAUGCGUAGAGAUGUGGAGGAAUACCGAUGGCGAAGGCAGCCCCCUGGGAUAACACUGACGCUCAUGCACGAAAGCGUGGGGAGCAAA
RNAcentral lists this ribosomal RNA (425 nucleotides) under uncultured bacterium. Its description in RNAcentral is "bacterial SSU rRNA". It matches the Rfam family "Bacterial small subunit ribosomal RNA", at positions 355 to 772 of the family's 1533-position model. The record is from RNAcentral.